AGAUUUUGACUGGUGUGACCCGAACCCGUGUCCUAAUGACCUCCUCUGUGUGAACCUGGGGAAUCACUUCCAUUGUGCUCCCCGUUCUAACGGCCGGAGAGUCCAGCACAAGUGCAGCAGCGCCUCCUGUCCGGAUGGCAUGUACUGCACCUCUGAGGACGUGGGAGGCUACUCGUGCAAGCUUCAGUGACGUCACAAAGGAGCCUUCCACGUGACAGCAAGCAAAAGAACCAAUCAGAGAUAGAAGACGUUUGAUUAAUAAACCAUCAAAAUGAUA
This is a long non-coding RNA of Branchiostoma floridae (Florida lancelet), 277 nucleotides long. RefSeq lists it as uncharacterized. The transcript has 2 exons. The record is from RefSeq and is a predicted model, not a curated record. NCBI's taxonomy places the organism in Eukaryota, Metazoa, Chordata, Leptocardii, Amphioxiformes, Branchiostomatidae.